This 2565-nucleotide long non-coding RNA is filed under the name Schizosaccharomyces pombe (fission yeast). Lineage: Eukaryota; Fungi; Ascomycota; Schizosaccharomycetes; Schizosaccharomycetales; Schizosaccharomycetaceae. The record is from RNAcentral.
GCUUUUCAUGGGUCCACCUCCAAAUGCGGAUUUGUUACCAAAUCCAACCUGCGGAUGGCAACAUGCCUGUCGUAAACGAACCAACCAACGCCUCAUAGAUUCUUCGUCACACAAAUCCAAAUUUCUGUCUUUGAAAAAGUGCAAAGACUUGGCCGCCUCUGAUAAUAAAUCCUGGUAGUUCGUUUCUUCUACUACACUAAGUCUUGUAGUCAUGCAGAUUCGAUGUUGAGGAGGUAAUUUUAAUUCUUCUUCAACGUCCUGUUUAGAAUGUCUGCAUACAAGGGAGCCAAACAGAUCGCAAAAUUCACGAACACGUUUCUUCUCUAUAAUUUGCAUCCAAGCUUGUUUUUUGUAUAAAUACAUAGGGGAGUAGCGAAGAAGAAAUAAAAGGCCAAAAAGGUCAUCAACUUCACUACGUACGGGAGUUCCACUUACAGUCCAACAAUUGACACGAGGUAUGCGAUAAAUCAUUUGUGCGACAUUACUCUGUGAAGUUUCAACCAUCUGAGCUUCAUCAACACAAAUUCUCCACCAACAUACAUCAAUCAAUGGAGACUUUGGAGAAACAUGUCGCUUUUCAUGUCUUAAGGUCCUGGAAUGAGAUUCAGUGUACAAUAGCUCAAACCGUAAAUCAGAAUAAGAUGUUACCACUAUAUCACAAUCCAAAAAAAUUUUAGCUGAUUUCAAACCAUUGGAUUUUCGGAUUCCUUGGUAAUGGAAUACUUUCAAUGAUGGCACAUGCAAAUCUAUCUCAGAUAACCAUUGAUCGAGAAUUGUAGAAGGCGUAAUUAUUAGGGUGGCCUUGGAAUACUUUACAUUUUUUCCGACGACCUGAUCGAAAGUACAAGUAUCAGUCAAAGAAAUUGGCAACUGAUGAUGCAAAACUAAUCCUAAGACUUCCAAAGUUUUUCCCAUGCCCAUUUCAUCGGCUAAAAUGCCUCCACGUAUAUCACCGGACGCAAGCAAAUAUGUUUUUUCUUUCGAAAAUGUCAUAUAGCCGUAAACAUGAUUAACGUAAACCAUUCGAUCAUCAAAAAGACUUUUGCAAUGGUACCAUAGAGGUGGUAAAUCAUUUGAGGUUAGGAAUUUCUCUUCUUCUCUUCGUUUCAUCCAUUCUAAAACACGCAUUUGAAAUGGUAAAAGUUCCGAAGAAAGCCUUGGAUCGCGUGAUACAUUGGCGAAACGUAGGCUUUUUGCCAAUUUUCUUGCACAAUCGUAAAAUAGUGCAGUGUUAAUAUCUAAACAAGAAUAUUCCUCAUCUUCAGACGGAAGGAACGUAUAGUCUAGUAAAGCAGUGUAUGAGGAAGAUGAUCCAGAUGAAAGAAUCGCAUCUUGAGGGGCAAGAAAAGAGUCGAGUAUGGAAAUGCCAAACGACAAAAUUAACUCGGAUCCUUUUACAGUAACAUAAGAUGUGUAUUUUAUAAUUUUCUUCAGCCGCCUAUUAUCCUCCCAAAGCUUACUCCAAAUUUUGAGAGGUGCUUUUAAAGCAGAGUAAGUAUCCUUAUUCAAGUCGACAGAAAACAAAGGAAUCAAGUUUUUGGCCAAUGAAAUUUUUCUUUGAGUAAAACUAUAUGCAUGUAGUUUCUCAGAUCCAUCAACCCAAAAAACGACAGGAUAAAUAGUAGACUUUAGCCGAUUUAACUCGUCCUCUGGUCCACGCCAUAUCUGCUGGUCUAGCUUGAGUUGGUGCUGGAAUGCACGGUAGCAAUUGGCGAAAUCACUUUCCAAAAGGUUGUUUCUUUCAUUUAGUAAGGAAGCCUCCUUCUCUAUUUUUCGCCUCUUAGUUCGGUCCAUAAUGUUCCCUCUCUUAAUUAAAUACAGUCGUGUUUUGAACCAAUAGACUUAAAAAUUUUAGAAUGAAUAGAAUUCUUUAAUGUACAAAGAAAUAAACGAAAAUAUAUAAACCCUCAAGAACACAAAAGGGUAGGCAUUGUGUUAUGUGCUUUUGUUCUUAGUUGUGGGCAAAAAGUGUCUUGAUUAAAACAUGUGCCACUUUUUUUUUGCUAAAGCUUGCAGAGUCGAAUAUUACUUUGGUAUUUUUUCCCCACCUUUCUUCCCUCUUUUUUUUUUUGGUUUAAAAGUACGACAAGGUAAAUAUCGAUAAAUCGUUUGUAAGGGAAUUCUAUUAUUCACGGUUGAAUCAGUACAAACACGAAUUAGAACUCAAAAUUACCUAAGAAAUAACAUCUACGUUAAUUAGUAAGUAAAUUGUAAAUACUAUUAAAAUUACCGAUACACUUAAUAUCUCAUUUGCUGGCUAAAAGAAAGAGCCCUUUUUACUCGGUAUUGUACAAACACACUAUUCCUUAUUGCUAAAACACUGUGCUCAUCCUUUAAGUAUAUAUCGAUUACCAAGUUUAAUUCAAUUAGCAAAAAAAUAUAAAUUCUAAAUAAAACGUAAACUGGUAGGAAAGUUUUUAAAAGUGAUGUCACCUUCACUGGACAAAGAUUAUUGUUAUUGUCAUAAACUAAAGUACAAAAUAUAAACUAAAGAUUGUAUACAUAUUAAAGAAAUAUCCUAGUUUGAAGGAUUCUUGUCGUCGCAAAUAUUGUUAAACCAAACUG